This 1356-nucleotide ribosomal RNA is filed under the name Lichenobarya usneae. RNAcentral's name for it is "eukaryotic LSU rRNA". It matches the Rfam family "Eukaryotic large subunit ribosomal RNA", at positions 74 to 1462 of the family's 3401-position model. The record is from RNAcentral. Lineage: Eukaryota; Fungi; Ascomycota; Sordariomycetes; Hypocreales; Hypocreaceae.
AUUGCCCCAGUAACGGCGAGUGAAGCGGCAACAGCUCAAAUUUGAAAUCUGGCCUCACGGCCCGAGUUGUAAUUUGCAGAGGAUGCUUUGGGUGAGGCGCCGCCUGAGUUCCCUGGAACGGGACGCCACAGAGGGUGAGAGCCCCGUCUGGCUGGACGCCGAGCCUGUGUAAAGCUCCUUCGACGAGUCGAGUAGUUUGGGAAUGCUGCUCUAAAUGGGAGGUAUAUGUCUUCUAAAGCUAAAUAUUGGCCAGAGACCGAUAGCGCACAAGUAGAGUGAUCGAAAGAUGAAAAGCACUUUGAAAAGAGGGUUAAACAGCACGUGAAAUUGUUGAAAGGGAAGCGCUCGUGACCAGACUUGGGCUUGGCGGAUCAUCCGGCGUUCUCGCCGGUGCACUUCGCCUCGCCCAGGCCAGCAUCAGUUCGCGCCGGGGGAUAAAGGCUUCGGGAAUGUGGCUCCUCCGGGAGUGUUAUAGCCCGCUGCGCAAUACCCUGGUGCGGACUGAGGUUCGCGCAUCUGCAAGGAUGCUGGCGUAAUGGUCAUCAGCGACCCGUCUUGAAACACGGACCAAGGAGUCGUCCUCGUAUGCGAGUGUUCGGGUGUCAAACCCCUACGCGUAAUGAAAGUGAACGCAGGUGAGAGCUUCGGCGCAUCAUCGACCGAUCCUGAUGUUCUCGGAUGGAUUUGAGUAAGAGCAUGCGGGGCCGGACCCGAAAGAAGGUGAACUAUGCCUGUGUAGGGUGAAGCCAGAGGAAACUCUGGUGGAGGCUCGCAGCGGUUCUGACGUGCAAAUCGAUCGUCAAACAUGGGCAUGGGGGCGAAAGACUAAUCGAACCUUCUAGUAGCUGGUUUCCGCCGAAGUUUCCCUCAGGAUAGCAGUGUUGAUCUCAGUUUUAUGAGGUAAAGCGAAUGAUUAGGGACUCGGGGGCGCUAUUUUGCCUUCAUCCAUUCUCAAACUUUAAAUAUGUAAGAAGCUCUUGUUACUUAAUUGAACGUGGGCAUUCGAAUGUAGCAACACUAGUGGGCCAUUUUUGGUAAGCAGAACUGGCGAUGCGGGAUGAACCGAACGCGAGGUUAAGGUGCCAGAGUAGACGCUCAUCAGACACCACAAAAGGUGUUAGUACAUCUUGACAGCAGGACGGUGGCCAUGGAAGUCGGAAUCCGCUAAGGACUGUGUAACAACUCACCUGCCGAAUGUACUAGCCCUGAAAAUGGAUGGCGCUCAAGCGUCUCACCCAUACCUCGCCCUCAGGGUAGAAACGAUGCCCUGAGGAGUAGGCGGACGUGGAGGUCGUGACGAAGCCUAGGGCGUGAGCCCGGGUCGAACGGCCUCUAGUGCAGAUCUUGGUGGUAGUA